AUAGCGAUUUUGCUUUCAGUAUGUACCUUGCUACGCAAAGUUUGGUCCGUGGACUGGCAACAUAACAUCACCUAGGAACUUAGAACAUCCAGCCCCACUUGAGAACCUGAAUCAGCAUCUGCAUUGUAACAAGAUUCCCAGAUGAUUUGUGUGAACUUUGGAGUUUGAGAAGCACCAGUUUAUUAGCCUCCAGGAUGGACAGGAUUCUCCCAAGGUCACACAUGAGUCAGUGGACUGUCAGUGAUACAGAAUCUGCCGCUUUUGCCGAGCCAGCAUCUGUCUUCAUGACCAGCUGCAGCACCUCAGCUUUCCUUUUGGAACUACAUCUCAGCUGCUUCCAGUCCAAACAGUUUCAGGGGGCUGACCUUAUAUUCCACCCACCUAGAAGAUGGCUGUAUGAUCCACAUCUAGCCAAUCCCAUUUUUCAUCCUCUGCUUGCUGUGAUCGGUUCAAGGGUGAGAAUGUGACCCAAGCCAGGCCAAAGGCAUUCAAAGUCAUGAGUUUUCAUGGAACCCUAGGGAAGGAGAAACCCUUGCUGGUAGAAUGGAUGUUGUGUGGGUGUCAUCUUGGAGUUGCUGGUGGCUGUGGAUGCAGUGAGAGAGACUGUGCCAGUGAAUGGGACCACCCCAAGGCAUUCAGCGGGACUGAUUCAGCAGGACAUACUACAAGAACGUGAGCCAUUGGACCUGACACCUCCAACCCCACUCUUCAACUUGUCUCUUUUCUGCCUGCAGGGAGCGCUGUCACCAGUGAACUGUGAGUGAGGCGCGGCCUGCAGUUCCGGGACUGUCCACAGGGGGGCCAAGCCCACCUCGCUGACCCACGGCGCAUGCGCAUUCCACCUGGGACUUGGCUCUGCGCGCCUGAAAGGAAUUCUGUUGCCUCAGGCACCCGCUUGGGCCUGGGAUGCCUCGCUGACAGCGUCUCUGCCAACAGGAGCUCAGUCUCCUUAGGGCUCGCUGGGGUUCAGCUUCAGAACAACACAGGACUGUGUCCAUGCAGACUGGAGCUGAGUUUCCUUACGACCGGGAGGAAAAGGUCAUCCACAACACGGAAGAAAGUGGCUCCUAAUAUAAUCUUCUCACAGUGCCUCUAAAUUACGUGUGGACUUUGGGUGAACUGGAUCUGGCUUGUGAGAUCUUGGUUCCCAGGCCAGAAGUCAGGCCUGAGCUUCUGUGGUAAGAGCACAGAGUCCAAACUGCUUGACUACCAGAGAACCUGAGACCCCAGGGAAUAUUAAUCAGAGUGAGGUCUCCAAGAGGGUCCUCAUCUCAGCACCAAGACCCAGCUCUACCCAACUGCCUGCAAACUCCAGUGCUGGAAGCCUCAGGCCGAACAAACAGUAAAACAGGAACACGGUCCCACCCAUCAAAAAAACAGACAACAAACUAUGUUACAGAUGAAGGAGCAAGGUAACCUACCUGAAAAAGAAUUCAGAGUAAUGAUAGUAAAGAUGAUCCAAAAUCUCAGAAAUAGAAUGGAGGCACAGAUCAAGGUCUUUAACAAAGACCUAGAAGAACUAAAGAACAAACAAACGAGAUAUUAGUCAAACUAACAAAAAUUAAAUUCAAAGAAAAAAUAUUAAAAGCAGCAAGGGAAAAGAAGAAAAUAACAUACAAGGGAAUUCCCAUAAGGUUAUCAGCUGAUUUCUCAGCAGAAACUCUGCAGGCCAGAGGGAGUGGCAGGAUGUAUUUAAAGCCAUGAAAGGGAAAAACGUACAACCAAGAUCUCUCUACCCAGCAAGGCUCUCAUCCAGAUUUGACGGAGAAAUCAAAAGCUUUACAGACAAGCAAAAGCUAUGAGAAUUCACCACCACCAAACCAGCUUUACAACAAAUGCUAAAGGAUCAUCUCUAGGCAGGAAACACAAAAGAAAAAGACCCACAAAAAUCCAAAACAAUUAAGAAAAUGGUAAUACGAAUAUACAUAUCAAUAAUUACCUUAAAUGUAAAUGGAUUAAAUGCUCCAACCAAAAGACAGAGACUGGCUGAAUGGAUACAGAAACAGGACCCAUAUAUAUGUUGUCUACAAGAAACUCACCUCACACCUAGGGACACAUGCAGACUGAAAGUUGAGGGGAUGGAAAGAGAUAUGCCAUGCAAAUUGAAAUCACAAGAAAGCUGGAGUAGCAGUACUCAUCAGAUGAAAGAGAUUUUAAAAUAAAGACGGUUACAAGAGAUAAGGAAGGACACUACAUAAUGCUCAAGGGAUCAAUCCAAGAGGAAAAUAAAGCAAUUACAAGUAUUUAUGCAUCCAACAUAGGAGCACCUCAAUACAUAAGGCAAGUGCUUAUAGCCAUAAAAGGGGAAAUUGACAGUACCACAAUAAUAGUGGGGGACUUUUAACCCCCACUUACACUAAUAGAUCAUCCAUACAGAAAAUAAGGAAACACAAGCUUUAAAUGACACAACAGACCAGAUAGAUUUAAUGGAUAUUUACAGGACCUUCCACCCAAAAGUGGAAAUACACUUUUUUCUCAAGUGCUCACGGAAUGUUCUCCAGGAUAGAUCACAUCUUGGGUCACAAAUCAAGCCUUGGUAAAUUUAAGAAAACUGAAAAUGUAUCAAGUAUAUUUUCCAACCACAACACUAUGAGAUUAGAAAUCAAUUACAGGAAAAAAAUUAAAAACACACACAUGGAGGCUAAACACUGCACUGCUAAAUAACCAAGAGAUCGCUCAAGAAAUCAAAGAGGAAAUAAAAAAUACAUAGAAAUAAAUGACAAAGUAUGACAACCCAAAACCUAUAGGACACAGCAAAAGCAGUUCUAGGAGGGAAGUUUAUAGCAAUUUAGUCUCACCUCAAGAAACAAGAAACAAGAAAAAUCUCAAACAAUCUAACCUUAUACCUAAAGCAACCAGAGAAGAAGAAAACCCAAAGUCAGUAGAAGGAAAGAAAUCAUAAAGAUCAGAGCAGAAAUAAAUGAAACAGAAUGGAAGAAAAUAAUAGCAAGGUCAAAAAAACUAAAAGUUGGUUCUUUAGGAAGGUAAACAAAAUUGAUAAACCAUUAGCCAGACUCAUCAAGAAGAAAAGGGAGAGGACUCGAGUAAAAUUAGAAAUGAAAAAGGAGAAGUUACAACAGACACUGCAGAAAUACAAGGAUCAUAAGAGACUACUACAAGGAACUAUAUGCCAAUAAAAU
Orcinus orca (killer whale) is the source of this 3140-nucleotide long non-coding RNA. RefSeq lists it as uncharacterized. NCBI's taxonomy places the organism in Eukaryota, Metazoa, Chordata, Mammalia, Artiodactyla, Delphinidae. The transcript has 6 exons. The record is from RefSeq and is a predicted model, not a curated record.